RNAcentral lists this transfer RNA (90 nucleotides) under Sinorhizobium meliloti 2011. RNAcentral describes it as "tRNA-Leu". It matches the Rfam family "tRNA". From Rfam's summary of the family: Transfer RNA (tRNA) molecules are approximately 80 nucleotides in length. Their secondary structure includes four short double-helical elements and three loops (D, anti-codon, and T loops). Lineage: Bacteria; Pseudomonadati; Pseudomonadota; Alphaproteobacteria; Hyphomicrobiales; Rhizobiaceae. The record is from RNAcentral.
GUCGCCCAGAUGGCGGAAUUGGUAGACGCGCCAGCUUCAGGUGCUGGUACUCGAAAGGGUGUGGAGGUUCGAGUCCUCUUCUGGGCACCA